UCUCUCUGAAUCUGCGAACGGCUCCGCAAGCCAGUCGUAAACUAUAGCAAGUCCGCCUUGGUGCCGGCCGUAAGGUUGGUGCUGGGGCUACAUGGAUACCCGUGGUAAUUCUGAGGCUAAUACAUGAACGUACCCCCUGAUCAACUGGGUAACCGGGAGGUUGGGGACAGUGCGGUCAGUCGCAGAUUUUGCUGGGAAUAGACGCACUUUCAAACCACCAUACGAGCAGUUGGGGUACCGACCUUCGGGAAGGUGCCCUUUCUGGGUGGGCCUUGCUUUGUGCUUCUGACCUAUCAACUAGAUGGCAGCGUAACGGACAUGCUAUGGUUACAACGGGUACAGAGGAUAAGGGUUCGAUCCUGGAGAGUGGGCCUGAGAGAUUGAGC
RNAcentral lists this ribosomal RNA (386 nucleotides) under uncultured myxomycete. RNAcentral's name for it is "bacterial SSU rRNA". It matches the Rfam family "Eukaryotic small subunit ribosomal RNA", at positions 76 to 407 of the family's 1831-position model. The record is from RNAcentral. Lineage: Eukaryota; Evosea; Eumycetozoa.